RNAcentral lists this long non-coding RNA (343 nucleotides) under Malus domestica (apple). RNAcentral describes it as "long non-coding RNA (MDOM_LNC011419)". The record is from RNAcentral. Lineage: Eukaryota; Viridiplantae; Streptophyta; Magnoliopsida; Rosales; Rosaceae.
GGUCAAAAUCAAUGGCAGUCUCUAAAAGCCCAAAUUGUAUCUCCACUUUAACCAGACAGUGCGUUUAAAAUCUCAACAUCUUCGCGCGCUGCUAAGUCGACCUCUUUCUUUGGCAGAAAUCCUAACGCCCCAGAUAAUAUCAACCGAUCAGCUCGCCCAAACACCAUUCGCUACGACGUCCUCCGGUUCUAAGAGCAAGUCCAUCGGAGCCAACAUUGCCCAGCACCCAGUCCAAAUAUCAAGCUGAGGGUCAGUUCAUUUACUCCAACCUACAAAGUUGCCUGGCACCCAGCCCAAGCCAGGCAACAGACCAGUCCAUUUUUGACAGACCCAAGAGUCGGCC